Molecule: ribosomal RNA, 1233 nt
Filed under: human gut metagenome
Description: bacterial LSU rRNA
Rfam family: Bacterial large subunit ribosomal RNA
Source: RNAcentral
AUCUACACUUCUAGCUUCGUCGGCAGCGUCAGAUGUGUAUAAGAGACAGGGAGGUGACCUACCCUUGGCCAGGUUGAAGCAUGGGUAAAACCAUGUGGAGGACCGAACAGGUGAACGUUGAAAAGUUCUCUGAUGAGCUGAGGGUAGGAGUGAAAGGCUAAUCAAACCCCGUGAUAGCUGGUUCUCUUCGAAAUGCAUUUAGGUGCAGCGUCACGUGCUGAUGCGCGGGGGUAGAGCACUGACAAGGCUAGGGGGCACACCCGCUUACCAAACCUUAUCAAACUCCGAAUACCGUGCAAUGGAACGUGGCAGUGAGACAGUGGGGGAUAAGCUUCAUUGUCGAGAGGGAAACAACCCAGACCAGCAGCUAAGGUGCCUAAAUAACGCUCAGUGGAAAGGAUGUGGGAUUACACAGACAGUGAGGAUGUUGGCUUAGAAGCAGCCACCAUUUAAAAAAUGCGUAAUAGCUUACUCAUCGAGUGAUCCUGCGCCGAAAAUGAUUGGCGAUCAAGCGUUAUACCGAAGCUCUGGACUUUGCCGCAAGGCAGAGUGGUAGAAGAGCGUUGCAUGCGCGUCGAAGGGCGAUGGCGACUGACCCUGGAGCACAUGCAAGUGAGUAUGCAGACAUGAGUAACGUUAAGCCGGGUGAAAUCCCCGGCCGCCGUAAACCCGAGGUUUCCAGGGCAACGUGUUUCGUCCCUGGGUUAGCCGGGACCUAAGCCGAGGCCGAGAGGCGUAGGCGAUGGACAUCAGGUUAAUAAUCCUGAGCUCGCAACCCUUAAACUGGGGGGACGCAUGAGAAAAGAUGACUAGGUUAUUGAAUUCCGAGUUGAGUCUACGGACUCAGCGCAUCAUUGGAUCGAGUGCCAAGAAAAGCCCCAGCGUAUGCUAAGCGACCCGUACCGCAAACCGACACAGGUGGGUGGGUAGAAUAUACCAAGGCGUAAGAGUGAAACCUGGUUAAGGAACUCGGCAAAUUAGCCCCGUAACUUCGGAAGAAGGGGUGCCUGCAGCGAUGCAGGCCGCAGAGAAAUGGCCCAACCGACUGUUUAUCAAAAACACAGCACUCUGCAAAGACGCAAGUCGAAGUAUAGGGUGUGACACGUGACCAAUGCCGAAAGAUUAAGGCAAGGGGUUAGCCGCAAGGCGAAGCUCUAAACCCAAGUCCCGGUGAAUGUCGGCCGUAACUAUAACGGUCCUAAGGUAGCGAAAUUCCUUGUCGGGUAAGUUCCG